Molecule: ribosomal RNA, 279 nt
Filed under: uncultured bacterium
Lineage: Bacteria
Description: partial 16S ribosomal RNA
Rfam family: Bacterial small subunit ribosomal RNA
Source: RNAcentral
UGCCAGCCGCCGCGGUAAUACGGGGGGCGCAAGCGUUAUUCGGAAUUAUUGGGCGUAAAGGGCGCGUAGGCGGUCUUGUCGGUCAGAUGUGAAAGCCCGGGGCUCAACCCUGGAAGUGCAUUUGAAACAGCAAGACUUGAAUACUGGAGAGGAGAGCGGAAUUCCUGGUGUAGAGGUGAAAUUCGUAGAGAUCUGAAGGAACAUCAGUGGCGAAGGCGACCUCCUGGACUGAUAUUGACGCUGAGGUGCGAAAGCGUGGGGAGCAAACAGGAUUAGAUA